Molecule: ribosomal RNA, 496 nt
Filed under: uncultured bacterium
Lineage: Bacteria
Description: partial 16S ribosomal RNA
Rfam family: Bacterial small subunit ribosomal RNA
Source: RNAcentral
AUGAACGCUGGCGGCGUGCCUCAUACAUGCAAGUCGAGCGAACAGACGAGGAGCUUGCUCCUCUGACGUUAGCGGCGGACGGGUGAGUAACACGUGGAUAACCUACCUAUAAGACUGGGAUAACUUCGGGAAACCGGAGCUAAUACCGGAUAAUAUAUUGAACCGCAUGGUUCAAUAGUGAAAGACGGUUUUGCUGUCACUUAUAGAUGGAUCCGCGCCGCAUUAGCUAGUUGGUAAGGUAACGGCUUACCAAGGCAACGAUGCGUAGCCGACCUGAGAGGGUGAUCGGCCAAACCGGAACUGAGACACGGUCCAGACUCCUACGGGAGGCAGCAGUAGGGAAUCUUCCGCAAUGGGCGAAAGCUUGACGGAGCAACGCCGCGUGAGUGAUGAAGGUCUUCGGAUCGUAAAACUCUGUUAUUAGGGAAGAACAAAUGUGUAAGUAACUAUGCACGUCUUGACGGUACCUAAUCAGAAAGCCACGGCUAACUACGUG